GAUGAAGAACGCAGCGAAAUGCGAUAAGUAAUGUGAAUUGCAGAAUUCAGUGAAUCAUCGAAUCUUUGAACGCACAUUGCGCCCGCCAGUAUUCUGGCGGGCAUGCCUGUUCGAGCGUCAUUACAACCCUCAGGCCCCCGGGCCUGGCGUUGGGGAUCGGCGGAGCCCCCCGUGGGCACACGCCGUCCCCCAAAUACAGUGGCGGUCCCGCCGCAGCUUCCAUCGCGUAGUAGCUAACACCUCGCGACUGGAGAGCGGCGCGGCCACGCCGUAAAACACCCAACUCUUCUGAAAUUGACCUCGAAUCAGGUAGGAAUACCCGCUGAACUUAAGCAUAUCAAUAAGCGGAGGA
Molecule: unclassified non-coding RNA, 352 nt
Filed under: soil metagenome
Description: partial contains 5.8S ribosomal RNA, internal transcribed spacer 2, and large subunit ribosomal RNA
Rfam family: 5.8S ribosomal RNA (bases 1-120)
Source: RNAcentral